RNAcentral lists this ribosomal RNA (331 nucleotides) under uncultured eukaryote. RNAcentral describes it as "partial 18S ribosomal RNA". It matches the Rfam family "Eukaryotic small subunit ribosomal RNA", at positions 1470 to 1796 of the family's 1831-position model. The record is from RNAcentral.
CCCUUAGAUGUUCUGGGCCGCACGCGCGCUACACUGACGAAGUCAGCGAGCAUGUCCUACGCCGACAGGUGCGGGGAAUCUUGUCAAGCUUCGUCGUGAUGGGGAUUGAUUUUUGAAAUUCUUGAUCAUAAACGAGGAAUUCCUAGUAAGCGCAAGUCAGCAGCUUGCGUUGAUUACGUCCCUGCCCUUUGUACACACCGCCCGUCGCUACUACCGAUUGAAUGGUUUAGUGAGAUCUUCGGAUUGGCGCCACUGCAGCUCAGCAAUGGGCUUGGUGGAUGCCGAAAAGUUGAUCAAACUUGAUCAUUUAGAGGAAGUAAAAGUCGUAACA